This 265-nucleotide ribosomal RNA is filed under the name uncultured bacterium. RNAcentral describes it as "partial 16S ribosomal RNA". It matches the Rfam family "Bacterial small subunit ribosomal RNA", at positions 355 to 637 of the family's 1533-position model. The record is from RNAcentral.
UAGGGAAUAUUAGAAAUGGACGAAAGUCUGAUCUAGCAACACCGCGUGUUCGAAGAAGGCCUUCGGGUUGUAAAGCACUUUUUGUAAGGAUUAGGAAGGAAUGUACUUCCAGAAUAUGUCUCGGCUAACUACGUGCCAGCAGCCGCGGUAACACGUAGGUGGCAAACGUUAUCCGGAUUUACUGUGCUUAAAGCGCGUGUAGGUGGUUCUGUAAGUAGGUCGUGAAAGGUCCUGGGUCAACUGGGAGAGGCCGUUCUAAACUGCA